AUAUAUAUAUUUAGGAAAAUCUUAAGAGAACGAUUGCUCUGAUACCAAUCUGUCACGCCCCCAAACCGAGACCGUUAUUAUAUGGAAAUAUGGUGCCCGAAUUUGCGACAUGAGUUGAAACAAAUAAAAUUUUCUCAAAUAAUUUAUUCGAAGAAGAAAUAUAUAUGUCUGAAUAAUACUUUUAUUAGAAAGGGAAAGCAUUAAUAAUUUACAAUACCAAAUAUUUUACAAUACGAAAGUUUUAGCAAGAGUAUAUAAAACAUUACAUUUAUUCUCAAAAUAGCAACAGAAAACAUUCUUUUAUUUAGUAGGUUCAUCCCAUUCCCCAAGCAUCUAUUCGUUACCUGAAAACAAUAAUGUGUAGCAUCAUGAGUAACACAGACCCAGUAAGUACAACUUACAUUCUUAUAAUAAUGUGUCUUAUAAGAAACCAGAAAUAAACACAACUAAGUAAAAAUGUACCAAGAAUCAUUUUGAUUUGUUCAUACUGAUUCUUAUUUAUGCGCACACACACACACACACACACAUAUACAAGCGUGAAUAAAUUUAUCCAUGUGAAUGUUUAGGAAACUGGUAAUAAAUCACAAAGAUCACAUGUUAGGUCCACUAUACCAAAGCACGGAUAAGCCGCAGCAUACCAAGGACAAUACCAGAGUAUGUAUACUCAAGGUCGACACUUUCUUCCUAUGAGUAUAAUAGUGCACUAUCUGUAGGGACUAGGGCCCAGGCUAACUCCACAAAUCACAAAACACUUUUACCAGUAAUUCACUUAAGCACGGGGUAGUACUAAUCACCCGGCUUCACAUCUCCAAAUAUAAUUACGUCAAUAAAAUAUAGCAAACUUUAGUAAGUAAGACAAUUACUUCAAGACCAAUAAAGUAUAUAUAUAAGCGUUCAUCAAUAUACUUUAAAAAUGGUCAGUAACUUAAGGUAUGCACAAGAUAAGCAAUUUAAUAAACUUGAAAGUAAAAGUGCAAUAAAGUAAAUGUACUUUAAAUA
Molecule: long non-coding RNA, 999 nt
Filed under: Fragaria vesca (wild strawberry)
Lineage: Eukaryota; Viridiplantae; Streptophyta; Magnoliopsida; Rosales; Rosaceae
Description: long non-coding RNA (FVES_LNC004831)
Source: RNAcentral